ACUAACGAUCACUACUCACGGUAAGCCGGGUUCUUAGUUGAUCC
RNAcentral lists this ribosomal RNA (44 nucleotides) under Erysimum scoparium. Its description in RNAcentral is "partial 18S ribosomal RNA". The record is from RNAcentral. Lineage: Eukaryota; Viridiplantae; Streptophyta; Magnoliopsida; Brassicales; Brassicaceae.